UACAGAGGGGGCAAGCGUUGUUCGGAAUUACUGGGCGUAAAGGACGCGUAGGCGGCCGCCUAAGUCAGACGUGAAAUCCCUCGGCUCAACCGGGGAACUGCGUCUGAUACUGGGUGGCUUGAAUCCGGGAGAGGGAUGCGGAAUUCCAGGUGUAGCGGUGAAAUGCGUAGAUAUCUGGAGGAACACCGGUGGCGAAGGCGGCAUCCUGGACCGGCAUUGACGCUGAGGCGCGAAAGCCAGGGGAGCAAACGGG
RNAcentral lists this ribosomal RNA (253 nucleotides) under uncultured bacterium. RNAcentral's name for it is "partial 16S ribosomal RNA". It matches the Rfam family "Bacterial small subunit ribosomal RNA", at positions 524 to 776 of the family's 1533-position model. The record is from RNAcentral.